UACGUAGGUGGCAAGCGUUGUCCGGAAUCACUGGGCGUAAAGCGCGCGCAGGCGGCGAUCUACUUCUGGGGUGAAAGCCCGGAGCUCAACUCCGGGACUGCCUUGGAUACGGGAUCGCUUGAGGAUUGGAGAGGCAAGGGGAAUUCCACGUGUAGCGGUGAAAUGCGUAGAUAUGUGGAGGAACACCUGUGGCGAAGGCGCCUUGCUGGCCAAUUUCUGACGCUGAGGCGCGAAAGCGUGGGGAGCAAACAGG
This 253-nucleotide ribosomal RNA is filed under the name uncultured bacterium. RNAcentral describes it as "partial 16S ribosomal RNA". It matches the Rfam family "Bacterial small subunit ribosomal RNA", at positions 524 to 776 of the family's 1533-position model. The record is from RNAcentral.